AGGAUAGUAGUUAAAUUAUAACGUUUAAGUUGCAUUUAAAAAAUAUUGUCUUAUCAAUCUAUCUUA
This 66-nucleotide transfer RNA is filed under the name Dorytomus tortrix. RNAcentral describes it as "tRNA-Ala". The record is from RNAcentral. Lineage: Eukaryota; Metazoa; Arthropoda; Insecta; Coleoptera; Erirhinidae.